Molecule: non-coding RNA, 478 nt
Organism: Labrus bergylta (ballan wrasse)
Lineage: Eukaryota; Metazoa; Chordata; Actinopteri; Labriformes; Labridae
Source: RefSeq, a predicted model, not a curated record
CUCUCUGAUAAUCAGAUCCGCAUGAAGCUGCUGCUGCUCGGUCGGACUCUACGCCCGUCAAGAAGUUUGAAGUUUUGGAAACAACGGAGACUUUUAGAGUCAUUUAAAAAGUGUAGCUGUUCAGUCUUGUCUUGUUUUUCUCUACUUCACCGUCCCGGACCCACGGGGGACCGAGGAGUUUCUCCAGACGGGACCGAAACUCUUCGCCUAGCCGUUAGGAUGGAACUUUAACGAACAGUUUUUUUUUGAUCCGUCUCCAUGGAAACGGAAGCCCCGCCCAAAUCCUCAGAGAUCAGAGACGAUCUCACUCAUCUGAGAGAGACAUCGUGGACUGUCAGUGAUCGACAAUCAAACAGCCUUCAUGGAGACGUGUCCAAAACACUGAGAUGGAGGAGAUUCUCUUUGAGAUACAACACCAGAGAGUCCUGGCCAAGACAGCAGCAUACAAGAGUUUCAGACAGAGAACAAAAGACAGACG